This 1378-nucleotide ribosomal RNA is filed under the name uncultured bacterium. Its description in RNAcentral is "bacterial SSU rRNA". It matches the Rfam family "Bacterial small subunit ribosomal RNA", at positions 27 to 1392 of the family's 1533-position model. The record is from RNAcentral.
GAUUGAACGCUGGCGGCAGGCCUAACACAUGCAAGUCGAACGGCAGCACAGAAGAGCUUGCUCUUUGGGUGGCGAGUGGCGGACGGGUGAGUAAUGUCUGGGAAACUGCCCGAUGGAGGGGGAUAACUACUGGAAACGGUAGCUAAUACCGCAUAACGUCGCAAGACCAAAGUGGGGGACCUUCGGGCCUCACACCAUCGGAUGUGCCCAGAUGGGAUUAGCUAGUAGGUGGGGUAAUGGCUCACCUAGGCGACGAUCCCUAGCUGGUCUGAGAGGAUGACCAGCCACACUGGAACUGAGACACGGUCCAGACUCCUACGGGAGGCAGCAGUGGGGAAUAUUGCACAAUGGGCGCAAGCCUGAUGCAGCCAUGCCGCGUGUAUGAAGAAGGCCUUCGGGUUGUAAAGUACUUUCAGCGGGGAGGAAGGCGGUGAGGUUAAUAACCUUGCCGAUUGACGUUACCCGCAGAAGAAGCACCGGCUAACUCCGUGCCAGCAGCCGCGGUAAUACGGAGGGUGCAAGCGUUAAUCGGAAUUACUGGGCGUAAAGCGCACGCAGGCGGUCUGUUAAGUCAGAUGUGAAAUCCCCGGGCUUAACCUGGGAACUGCAUUUGAAACUGGCAGGCUUGAGUCUCGUAGAGGGGGGUAGAAUUCCAGGUGUAGCGGUGAAAUGCGUAGAGAUCUGGAGGAAUACUCGGUGGCGAAAGGCGGCCCCCUGGGACGAAGACUGACGCUCAGGUGCGAAAGCGUGGGGAGCAAACAGGAUUAGAUACCCUGGUAGUCCACGCCGUAAACGAUGUCGACUUGGAGGUUGUGCCCUUGAGGCGUGGCUUCCGGAGCUAACGCGUUAAGUCGACCGCCUGGGGAGUACGGCCGCAAGGUUAAAACUCAAAUGAAUUGACGGGGGCCCGCACAAGCGGUGGAGCAUGUGGUUUAAUUCGAUGCAACGCGAAGAACCUUACCUGGCCUUGACAUCCAGAGAACUUAGCAGAGAUGCUUUGGUGCCUUCGGGAACUCUGAGACAGGUGCUGCAUGGCUGUCGUCAGCUCGUGUUGUGAAAUGUUGGGUUAAGUCCCGCAACGAGCGCAACCCUUAUCCUUUGUUGCCAGCGGCUCGGCCGGGAACUCAAAGGAGACUGCCGGUGAUAAACCGGAGGAAGGUGGGGAUGACGUCAAGUCAUCAUGGCCCUUACGGCCAGGGCUACACACGUGCUACAAUGGCGCAUACAAAGAGAAGCGACCUCGCGAGAGCAAGCGGACCUCAUAAAGCGCGUCGUAGUCCGGAUUGGAGUCUGCAACUCGACUCCAUGAAGUCGGAAUCGCUAGUAAUCGUAGAUCAGAAUGCUACGGUGAAUACGUUCCCGGGCCUUGUACUCACCG